This 253-nucleotide ribosomal RNA is filed under the name uncultured bacterium. RNAcentral describes it as "partial 16S ribosomal RNA". It matches the Rfam family "Bacterial small subunit ribosomal RNA", at positions 524 to 776 of the family's 1533-position model. The record is from RNAcentral.
UACAGAGGGGGCAAGCGUUGUUCGGAAUUACUGGGCGUAAAGGGCGCGUAGGCGGCCUUCUAAGUCGAACGUGAAAUCCCCGGGCUCAACCCGGGAACUGCGUCCGAUACUGGAUGGCUUGAGUUUGGGAGAGGGACGCGGAAUUCCAGGUGUAGCGGUGAAAUGCGUAGAUAUCUGGAGGAACACCGGUGGCGAAGGCGGCGUCCUGGACCAACACUGACACUGAGGAGCGAAAGCCAGGGGAGCAAACGGG